GACGAACGCUGGCGGCGUGCUUAACACAUGCAAGUCGAGCGGUAAGGCCCUUUCGGGGGUACGACGAGCGGCGAACGGGUAGAGUAACACGUGGGUGACCUGCCCUCAGCUCUGGGAGUAAGCCUGGGAAACCGGGGUCUAAUACUGGAUAUGACUCCAUGACGCAUGUUGUGGGGUGGAAAGCCUUGUGCGGCUGAGGAUGGGCCCGCGGCCUAUCAGCUUG
Molecule: ribosomal RNA, 223 nt
Filed under: uncultured bacterium
Lineage: Bacteria
Description: partial 16S ribosomal RNA
Rfam family: Bacterial small subunit ribosomal RNA
Source: RNAcentral